CUCCACUACAGCUCCUCCCUUCAUUUCCACUACAGCUCCACCCUUCAACUCCACUACAGCUCCACCCUUCAUCUCCACUGCAGCUCCUCCCAAAGGACUCACUGUUCUGGAGGUGAAGGUGAAGACGUUGUUGACUGAAGAAGAGCAUCAGGCUGCACUGCUUCAGGUUGGCACUGUGCUAGAGAAGUUGUUAAAAGAGAAUAAUACUGACAUCUACUCUGUUAAAGUCAUAAAAAUUAAACGGGUAUCACCAUAGAAUUGAGUCGGAAAUCAGAGAGAGGAACAGACAUGAAUAAGUGCUCAUUGCUGCUGAACUUUUACUAUUUUAGAUUACAUAUGUUGAUGGUUCAGCAAAAAGUGUGUUUCUGUGUAUGUAUGAAUCAAACAUGAAAAGAAUGUGUUAGGAAUCCCCAGAUUUAUUUUCUGUUCUAAUGUAAUUCUUCUGUGAAGGGAAUCUGCUGCUGCUGUUUAAACUUUGUUUUCAUUUCUCUGUUUUUGAGAUUUGUGUAUGACGAUUGCACUGAAAUAAUAAGGAAGAGCUCUUAUGAACCCAAACAAGCAAACAACUAAAACUGUCAUUCUGUUGGGUUUUGUGAUCGUCAUUGCUCAGUGUGUUUCCUGCUGCUGCAUGACUUUGUUCAGUAAAUGUUGCAUGAAUAAUUUCUCUGAGAACUGAGCAACGGUUUCUGAGUUUUUCUGGGAAAUAUGGAGACCAAUUUGGCCUCCACUGUUCUCUGAAACCCAUUCAACUAUGAGAAGAGAAUCUUAUUUUAGACCAGACUGCUUCAUCAGGACCAGACACCAGUGUGAGACGGCUUUAUAAAAUAAUGUCGUCACUCGAAUUUUUAAUCACCUACGGUUUCAAUUAGUUCUGACAUUUUAGGACAUUCUCCCAGACUUACAGAGCAUGUUUUUAUUUAAGGAAAUAAACACGAGGAAAUUAGUUUUUGCUGCAAGACUCCUGAAAUGACUUUUAUUUUGUAACUCUUUCGCAGUUUUUUUUCCUGAAAUCACUCACUAUUAUCCAGUUUGACUAAACAAACAGUGUGAAUUCACAAAACACUCUGAAAAAAAAAAUCUGAAGUAUUUUCAUACAGAAGA
Cyprinus carpio (common carp) is the source of this 1101-nucleotide long non-coding RNA. RefSeq lists it as uncharacterized. The transcript is spliced from 3 exons. Lineage: Eukaryota; Metazoa; Chordata; Actinopteri; Cypriniformes; Cyprinidae. The record is from RefSeq and is a predicted model, not a curated record.